UACUUGGUGUUACUGCGAAGGGGGGACGGAGAAGGCUAUGUUGGCCGGGCGACGGUUGUCCCGGUUUAAGCGUGUAGGCUGGUUUUCCAGGCAAAUCCGGAAAAUCAAGGCUGAGGCGUGAUGACGAGGCACUACGGUGCUGAAGCAACAAAUGCCCUGCUUCCAGGAAAAGCCUCUAAGCAUCAGGUAACAUCAAAUCGUACCCCAAACCGACACAGGUGGUCAGGUAGAGAAUACCAAGGCGCUUGAGAGAACUCGGGUGAAGGAACUAGGCAAAAUGGUGCCGUAACUUCGGGAGAAGGCACGCUGAUAUGUAGGUGAAGUCCCUUGCGGAUGGAGCUGAAAUCAGUCGAAGAUACCAGCUGGCUGCAACUGUUUAUUAAAAACACAGCACUGUGCAAACACGAAAGUGGACGUAUACGGUGUGACGCCUGCCCGGUGCCGGAAGGUUAAUUGAUGGGGUCAGCGCAAGCGAAGCUCUUGAUCGAAGCCCCGGUAAACGGCGGCCGUAACUAUAACGGUCCUAAGGUAGCGAAAUUCCUUGUCGGGUAAGUUCCGACCUGCACGAAUGGCGUAAUGAUGGCCAGGCUGUCUCCACCCGAGACUCAGUGAAAUUGAACUCGCUGUGAAGAUGCAGUGUACCCGCGGCAAGACGGAAAGACCCCGUGAACCUUUACUAUAGCUUGACACUGAACAUUGAGCCUUGAUGUGUAGGAUAGGUGGGAGGCUUUGAAGUGUGGACGCCAGUCUGCAUGGAGCCGGCCUUGAAAUACCACCCUUUAAUGUUUGAUGUUCUAACGUGGACCCGUGAUCCGGGUUGCGGACAGUGUCUGGUGGGUAGUUUGACUGGGGCGGUCUCCUCCUAAAGAGUAACGGAGGAGCACGAAGGUUGGCUAAUCCUGGUCGGACAUCAGGAGGUUAGUGCAAUGGCAUAAGCCAGCUUGACUGCGAGCGUGACGGCGCGAGCAGGUGCGAAAGCAGGUCAUAGUGAUCCGGUGGUUCUGAAUGGAAGGGCCAUCGCUCAACGGAUAAAAGGUACUCCGGGGAUAACAGGCUGAUACCGCCCAAGAGUUCAUAUCGACGGCGGUGUUUGGCACCUCGAUGUCGGCUCAUCACAUCCUGGGGCUGAAGUAGGUCCCAAGGGUAUGGCUGUUCGCCAUUUAAAGUGGUACGCGAGCUGGGUUUAGAACGUCGUGAGACAGUUCGGUCCCUAUCUGCCGUGGGCGCUGGAGAACUGAGGGGGGCUGCUCCUAGUACGAGAGGACCGGAGUGGACGCAUCACUGGUGUUCGGGUUGUCAUGCCAAUGGCACUGCCCGGUAGCUAAAUGCGGAAGAGAUAAGUGCUGAAAGCAUCUAAGCACGAAACUUGCCCCGAGAUGAGUUCUCCCUGACCCUUUAAGGGUCCUGAAGGAACGUUGAAGACGACGACGUUGAUAGGCCGGGUGUGUAAGCGCAGCGAUGCGUUGAGCUAACCGGUACUAAUGAACCGUGAGG
RNAcentral lists this ribosomal RNA (1494 nucleotides) under Shigella sonnei. RNAcentral describes it as "partial 23S ribosomal RNA". It matches the Rfam family "Bacterial large subunit ribosomal RNA", at positions 1442 to 2915 of the family's 2925-position model. Lineage: Bacteria; Pseudomonadati; Pseudomonadota; Gammaproteobacteria; Enterobacterales; Enterobacteriaceae. The record is from RNAcentral.